Stegostoma tigrinum is the source of this 691-nucleotide long non-coding RNA. RefSeq lists it as uncharacterized. The record is from RefSeq and is a predicted model, not a curated record. The transcript is spliced from 7 exons. Lineage: Eukaryota; Metazoa; Chordata; Chondrichthyes; Orectolobiformes; Stegostomatidae.
CACGGCAACUCCAUCCAGACAGCAACGCCCAGGAGGCGGACACUAAGGAUGUUAUCUACCUGGUCUCAAGAAUUCUGCGUCAUGGAAACCAGAAUGUGAGGCAAAGAGUUAAAGUUUGAGGGAGAAGCGGGUGGCUGGUGUUGGAGAAGGACUAAGGACCAUGAUAUCUCUUUCCCGUCCCUGUUUACUACGGGUAAUUGUAACAUGCAACACAGUGAUUGGAGUGGUUGAAGCUGAACAUAAUGAAACAUUGUAUUCUUUUGGACAUAUUUUUGCAAGAGAAUAGUUGGUUCAACACACUGAAGCGCCCUUCUUUCUUCUUGUUGUUUUGGGAAGAUUGCUGUCGAACAGGCUCAGGCGGCGGUGGCAGCUGCUGCUUCUGGAGGACUAGAUCUGAUGGGAACGACUGAGCUGACUGAACAAAUCCACACAAUGUCUGGACUGAAGGUGCUCCUUCUAGUCAGGGUUAUCAGUCCAUUGAGAUUUGUGAAACAUCAAUGGCAGCCCGUAUGAUAUCAAUAUCCUCUAUGGAUUCCAAAUCAGAUGAAGUACAGACCCCUACUGGUGGAUGCAAGACCUUUCAGAGUGUUGGACUCAAGAUCAUCCUUUGCUUCAUCGGGGAGAUCUGGCACUAUUUGAAUACCCUGAUUAUUUGGAUAACUGACAAGGAAUAAAACCCUUUCAAAAUGGA